This 432-nucleotide ribosomal RNA is filed under the name uncultured bacterium. RNAcentral's name for it is "partial 16S ribosomal RNA". It matches the Rfam family "Bacterial small subunit ribosomal RNA", at positions 29 to 506 of the family's 1533-position model. The record is from RNAcentral.
AACGAACGCUGGCGGCAUGCCUAACACAUGCAAGUCGAACGAGACCUUCGGGUCUAGUGGCGCACGGGUGCGUAACGCGUGAGAACCUGCCCUUAGGUUCGGAAUAACUCCCCGAAAGGGGUGCUAAUACCGGAUAAUGUCUUCGGACCAAAGAUUUAUCGCCUUUGGAUGGGCCCGCGUUGGAUUAGCUAGUUGGUAGGGUAAAAGCCUACCAAGGCGACGAUCCAUAGCUGGUCUGAGAGGAUGAUCAGCCACACUGGGACUGAGACACGGCCCAGACUCCUACGGGAGGCAGCAGUGGGGAAUAUUGGACAAUGGGCGAAAGCCUGAUCCAGCAAUGCCGCGUGAGUGAUGAAGGCCUUAGGGUUGUAAAGCUCUUUUACCCGGGAUGAUAAUGACAGUACCGGGAGAAUAAGCUCCGGCUAACUCCGU